UAAGCCAUGCGAGUCGAGAGGGUUCAGACCCCCGGCGGACUGCUCAGUAACACGUGGAUAACCUGCCCUAAGGUGGAGCAUAACCCCGGGAAACUGGGGAUAAUACUCCAUAGAUUAGAGACACUGGAAUGUUCUUUAGUCGAAAGUUCUGGCGCCUUAGGAUGGAUCUGCGGUCGAUUAGGUUGUUGUUGGGGUAACGGCCCAACAAGCCUGUAAUCGAUACGGGUUGUGGGAGCAAGAGCCCGGAGAUGGAAUCUGAGACACGAUUCCAGGCCCUACGGGGCGCAGCAGGCGCGAAAACUUUACAAUGCAGGAAACUGUGAUAAGGGAACUCCGAGUGCCCGUAUACGCGGGCUGUCCAGGUGUUUAAAAAUCAUCUGAAGAAAGGACCGGGCAAGACCGGUGCCAGCCGCCGCGGUAACACCGGCGGCCCGAGUGGUGACCGUUAUUAUUGGGUCUAAAGGGUCCGUAGCCGGUUUGGUCAGUCCUCCGGGAAAUCUGAUAGCUUAACUGUUAGGCUUUCGGGGGAUACUGCCAGGCUUGGAACCGGGAGAGGUAAGAGGUACUACAGGGGUAGGAGUGAAAUCUUGUAAUCCCUGUGAGACCACCUGUGGCGAAGGCGUCUUACCAGAACGGGUUCGACGGUGAGGGACGAAAGCUGGGGGAGCAAACCGGAUUAGAUACCCGGGUAGUCCCAGCCGUAAACUAUGCGCGUUAGGUGUAUCGGUGACCACGAGUUACCGAGGUGCCGAAGGGAAACCGUGAAACGUGCCGCCUGGGAAGUACGGUCGCAAGGCUGAAACUUAAAGGAAUUGGCGGGGGAGCACCACAACAGGUGGAGCCUGCGGUUUAAUUGGACUCAACGCCGGGAAGCUCACCGGAUAGGACAGCAGAAUGAUUGCCGGGCUGAAGACCCUGCAUGACUAGCUGAGAGGAGGUGCAUGGCCGUCGUCAGUUCGUACUGUGAAGCAUCCUGUUAAGUCAGGCAACGAGCGAGACCCA
Molecule: ribosomal RNA, 1002 nt
Filed under: uncultured archaeon
Lineage: Archaea
Description: bacterial SSU rRNA
Rfam family: Archaeal small subunit ribosomal RNA
Source: RNAcentral